GACGAACGCUGGCGGCGUGCUUAACACAUGCAAGUCGAACGGAAAGGCCCUGCUUUUGUGGGGUGCUCGAGUGGCGAACGGUGAGUAACACGUGAGUAACCUGCCCUUGACUUUGGGAUAACUUCAGGAGACUGGGGCUAAUACCGGAUAGGAGCUCCUGCUGCAUGGUGGGGGUUGGAAAAGUUUCGGCGGUUGGGGAUGGACUCGCGGCUUAUCAGCUUGUGGUGGGGUAUGGCUUUACCAAGGGCUUUGACGGGUAGCCGGCCUGAGAGGGUGACCGGCCACAUUGGGACUGAGAUACGGCCCAGACUCCUACGGGAGGCAGCAGUGGGGAAUAUUGCACAAUGGGCGGAAGCCUGAUGCAGCAACGCCGCGUGCGGGAUGACGGCCUGGUGUAACG
Molecule: ribosomal RNA, 400 nt
Filed under: uncultured bacterium
Lineage: Bacteria
Description: bacterial SSU rRNA
Rfam family: Bacterial small subunit ribosomal RNA
Source: RNAcentral